This 649-nucleotide ribosomal RNA is filed under the name Ischnura elegans. RNAcentral describes it as "partial 16S ribosomal RNA". It matches the Rfam family "Bacterial large subunit ribosomal RNA", at positions 1795 to 2730 of the family's 2925-position model. The record is from RNAcentral. Lineage: Eukaryota; Metazoa; Arthropoda; Insecta; Odonata; Coenagrionidae.
GGCGCCUGUUUAACAAAAACAUGUCCUAUUGUAUUAUUUAAUAGGUCUGGCCUGCCCAGUGAUAAUUUCAACGGCCGCGGUAUAUUGACCGUGCAAAGGUAGCAUAAUCAUUAGUCUUUUAAUAGGAGGCUGGAAUGAAAGGUUUAACGAGAAAUUGACUGUCUCAAUUACAAUCUUGAAUUUAUCUUUUGAGUCAAAAGACUUAAAUAUAAUUGGUGGACGAGAAGACCCUAUAGAGCUUGACAAUUAUUUUUUUAUAUUUACUUAGACUGAAAUUAUUUAUUUAUAUUAAAAAGAUUGUUUUGUUGGGGUGACAAUAAAUAUAUAUUUAACUUUUAUCAUAAUAUUAACAUUAAUUUAUGACUUUUGGAUCCAAAAAUUUUGAUCAUUAGAUUAAGUUACCUUAGGGAUAACAGCGUAAUCUUCCCUCAGAGUUCAUAUUUACGGGAAGGGUUGCGACCUCGAUGUUGGAUUAAGAUAAUAAUUAGGUGCAGUAGCUUAAUUAAUAGGUCUGUUCGACCUUUAAAUUCUUACAUGAUCUGAGUUCAGACCGGUUUAAGCCAGGUCGGUUUCUAUCUCCAAUUUAAUAUCAGUUAUUAGUACGAAAGGACCAUAAUUGAAAAAUAUUUUUUAUGUUUUGAAUUUUAUU